GACGAACGCUGGCGGCGUGCCUAAUACAUGCAAGUAGAACGCUGAAGAGAGGAGCUUGCUCUUCUUGGAUGAGUUGCGAACGGGUGAGUAACGCGUAGGUAACCUGCCUUGUAGCGGGGGAUAACUAUUGGAAACGAUAGCUAAUACCGCAUAACAAUGGAUGACACAUGUCAUUUAUUUGAAAGGGGCAAUUGCUCCACUACAAGAUGGACCUGCGUUGUAUUAGCUAGUAGGUGAGGUAAUGGCUCACCUAGGCGACGAUACAUAGCCGACCUGAGAGGGUGAUCGGCCACACUGGGACUGAGACACGGCCCAGACUCCUACGGGAGGCAGCAGUAGGGAAUCUUCGGCAAUGGGGGCAACCCUGACCGAGCAACGCCGCGGGAGUGAAGAAGGGUUUCGGAUCGGAAAGCUCUGUUGUAAGUCAAGAACGGGUGUGAGAGUGGAAAGUUCACACUGUGACGGUAGCUUACCAGAAAGGGACGGCUAACUACGUG
RNAcentral lists this ribosomal RNA (497 nucleotides) under uncultured bacterium. RNAcentral describes it as "partial 16S ribosomal RNA". It matches the Rfam family "Bacterial small subunit ribosomal RNA", at positions 28 to 507 of the family's 1533-position model. The record is from RNAcentral.